This 484-nucleotide ribosomal RNA is filed under the name uncultured bacterium. RNAcentral's name for it is "partial 16S ribosomal RNA". It matches the Rfam family "Bacterial small subunit ribosomal RNA", at positions 30 to 507 of the family's 1533-position model. The record is from RNAcentral.
AUUGAACGCUGGCGGCAGGCCUAACACAUGCAAGUCGAGCGGAUGAAGGGAGCUUGCUCCUGGAUUCAGCGGCGGACGGGUGAGUAAUUCCUAGGAAUCUGCCUGUUAGUUGGGGAUAACGUCCGGAAACGGGCGCUAAUACCGCAUACGUCCUGAGGGAGAUAGUGGUGUAUCUUCGGACCUCUCGCUAUCAGAUGAUCCUAGGUCGGAUUAGCUAGUUGUUGGGUUAAAGGCAUACCAAGGCGACGAUCCGUAACUGGUCUGAGAGGAUGAUCAGUAAAACUGGAAGUGAGACACGGUCAAGAAGCAUACGGGAGGAAGCAGUGGGGAAUAUUGGACAAUGGGCGAAAGCCUGAUCAAGCAAUGCCGCGUGUGUGAAGAAGGUCUUCGGAUUGUAAAGCACUUUAAGUUGGGAGGAAGGGAAGUAAGUUAAUACCUAGCUGUUUUGACGUUACCAAAAGAAAAAGCACCGGCUAACUUCGUG